This 730-nucleotide ribosomal RNA is filed under the name Caulobacteraceae bacterium. Its description in RNAcentral is "bacterial SSU rRNA". It matches the Rfam family "Bacterial small subunit ribosomal RNA", at positions 26 to 802 of the family's 1533-position model. Lineage: Bacteria; Pseudomonadati; Pseudomonadota; Alphaproteobacteria; Caulobacterales; Caulobacteraceae. The record is from RNAcentral.
AGAGCGAACGCUGGCGGCAGGCCUAACACAUGCAAGUCGAACGAACUCUUCGGAGUUAGUGGCGGACGGGUGAGUAACACGUGGGAACGUGCCUUUAGGUUCGGAAUAACUCAGGGAAACUUGUGCUAAUACCGAAUGUGCCCUUCGGGGGAAAGAUUUAUCGCCUUUAGAGCGGCCCGCGUCUGAUUAGCUAGUUGGUGAGGUAAAGGCUCACCAAGGCGACGAUCAGUAGCUGGUCUGAGAGGAUGAUCAGCCACAUUGGGACUGAGACACGGCCCAAACUCCUACGGGAGGCAGCAGUGGGGAAUCUUGCGCAAUGGGCGAAAGCCUGACGCAGCCAUGCCGCGUGAAUGAUGAAGGUCUUAGGAUUGUAAAAUUCUUUCACCGGGGACGAUAAUGACGGUACCCGGAGAAGAAGCCCCGGCUAACUUCGUGCCAGCAGCCGCGGUAAUACGAAGGGGGCUAGCGUUGCUCGGAAUUACUGGGCGUAAAGGGAGCGUAGGCGGACAUUUAAGUCAGGGGUGAAAUCCCGGGGCUCAACCUCGGAAUUGCCUUUGAUACUGGGUGUCUUGAGUAUGAGAGAGGUGUGUGGAACUCCGAGUGUAGAGGUGAAAUUCGUAGAUAUUCGGAAGAACACCAGUGGCGAAGGCGACACACUGGCUCAUUACUGACGCUGAGGCUCGAAAGCGUGGGGAGCAAACAGGAUUAGAUACCCUGGUAGUCCACGCCG